RNAcentral lists this ribosomal RNA (424 nucleotides) under uncultured prokaryote. Its description in RNAcentral is "bacterial SSU rRNA". It matches the Rfam family "Bacterial small subunit ribosomal RNA", at positions 355 to 796 of the family's 1533-position model. The record is from RNAcentral.
UGAGGAAUAUUGGACAAUGGGGGCAACCCUGAUCCAGCCAUGCCGCGUGAGUGAAGAAGGCCUUAGGGUUGUAAAGCUCUUUCAAUAGUGAAGAUAAUGACGGUAACUAUACAAGAAGCUCCGGCUAAAUUCGUGCCAGCAGCCGCGGUAAUACGAAUGGAGCAAGCGUUGUUCGGAAUCACUGGGCUUAAAGCGUAUGCAGGCGGACUCGCAAGUCAGGAGUGAAAUCCCGAGGCUCAACCUCGGAACUGCUCUUGAAACUGCAAGUCUAGAAUACUGGAGAGGUCGGGAGAAUUCCUAGUGUAGAGGUGAAAUUCGCAGAUAUUAGGAGGAAUACCAGUGGCGUAGGCGCCCGACUGGACAGUUAUUGACGCUCAGAUACGAAAGCGUGGGGAGCAAACAGGAUUAGAUACCCCCGUAGUCC